Molecule: long non-coding RNA, 2363 nt
Organism: Camelus dromedarius (Arabian camel)
Lineage: Eukaryota; Metazoa; Chordata; Mammalia; Artiodactyla; Camelidae
Exons: 3
Source: RefSeq, a predicted model, not a curated record
CGUAUUUCCUAUUUCCUUUCCUCUCACCUCUUUCCACCAUGGUAAGGGUUCUGCUAAAAUUUACUUCUGGAUGUAAACACUGGAAAGGCAUUGCAGUGGGACUGGAGAAGGGGUGGAAUUACUCAGAGAUCCUGGACUUGGAGACGUUUGCAGUGACUGACAGGUUCUCAGACGGCCCGUCAGUCCUGGGAACGCCUGACACCCAUCCAACCGAGACGUCCUCUCUCUGCUUGAGCCAGCUGGGCUUCGUUUCCGUUGCUUCUCAGCAAAAGAGCACUGAACUCCGCAUAAGACAGACGACAGAGAGCACAGGCGUGGGCUGAUGUUCUGAGGGCAGGGCUGGGGAGGCGCCACCUGCAUCCAGCCCCCCAGCUACGCUGUUUCCCCACUUGCCCAUCCUUGCUGACCCUUCGGCCACACGUGCACAUGCUGUGUAGGGCGGCCACCACGGGAGAAGUUAUGAGUUGAACUGUGUCCCCCAAAGGAUGCUCAAAUUCUCAUCCCAGGACCGCGUCACGGCAGCCAUGCUUCCUAUUUGCAGAAGGUUCUCGUGCUGGUGAGCAUCACCCACAUAGCACCGCGACUCACUUUCCCUGCUACCUGGACUUCCUCCAGCACGAGUAACACCGGGAAGGACAUUCUUGUCGCCUUUUCUCUCCUUUUGAACAACUUUCUCAAAAUGCGUCACCAGCGGCAGAUGACUGGCUGAGACAGAAGGACUGAUCUGCAGGGGGAUGCUGCGUUUGUCACCGAGGGGCCGCCGGGAGCGAGCUCUGAAUUCUGAGCAGAGAGAAUGAUGUGCCGGUAAGGAGGGGACUCGGGGCCAGGCUGGGUGUGAGAGCCGGGCGGGGAAGUGCUGGCAGCAGGCAGCCCGCAGACUCCACAGGAGCUGCGACUCCAGCCCAACACCGAUGGGGUAAGUUGGCGAGGAAACAGCAGGGUGAGAACUGAACAGGAACAGGACUGACCACCGUGGACGGAAGCCUGGCCUGCAGGGGGUGGGCAGCGAGAGAGGACAGGGCCCGGGUGAGGGGGCCCGCCUGCUCAGCCGAGAGGACCACAGAGGUGAGAUGCCCGGCCGGCAGCGGCCAUCCAAUUCCUCUUUCCUUUCACUGGUUCUGACCACAGUCUAGCCUGGAUUCCUCCUGAGUUAGAAACCAGGCCACACAAUGGGUGGGGGUGGGGUACACUUCCUCCCUGUUCACCGACCCCUGACCACUGGCCACCGUGUGCAGCCCUCCCAGGACACGCUCCCCAACCAUGUCCCAGUCCAAUCCACCAGUGACCCUCUCCACCUGCUGUGUUUCGGGGGACGGGGGGGACAACCAGAGCUCCCCCCUACCUGUUGUCUCUCCUCCACCCCCCGGGGUUCCCUCCUGCUCUCCACAAAACUGAAGUGACACCAAGUGACACACUGAGCCUUCUUCAAGGCUCUGGAAGCCACACUCUUUAAACCCCACCCCUUCUCAUGGCUUCGGUCACCACCAGCACGUGGAGGAGGACUGCCCACCAGCCAGUGUGGCAGCGCAGGACCAGAACCCAGGUCUCUGGAUGCCCGGUCCAUCACUCACGCUCAGCGCCUGACGCUCCUUUUUGAAGGUAGGGCAGUCAGCCCAGCAACCAGAGCCCCAGUAGCUGGCAGUCUGCUGCAUCGCUCUGAACAGUCAGUGCUGUUCAGGGGUUACACAUGGGCCUGGCGGGGGAAUGUCCUACUUGACUGUAGAUCUAGAUUGCUUUCUGCCACUUCCAGGGUGAGUGACUUUGGGCAGUCUACCUGUUUCCACCUGGGCUUUCUGAUCUGUCGAACGACGGUUACAGCAUCCGCCACAGCAUGGAGGUAAGAGAUCAGACGGUAACACAGCAGAGCCCACGGGACAGCGCCGCCACCUGAUCAGCGCUCUGCCUAGCCAGGUCGAGCUCGGCCUGGCUCUGACGUGAGCGCUGGCGGCGGGGAGAUGUCCUCUCUCAGGAAUUUAAAAGUCAUUCCAUGAACUCCCGGCAUGAGUACUUACUGGAGGAGUACCAGGAGGGCAGUGUCUAUCACACUAGAUAAACUCGCCUCUGGUGUUCAGGUGGCCCCAGAGAAGCUCAGACACCCGGGGAGAGUGUUGAAAGGGUUAAGGCAAGCACCCGGAGUCCACCUGUGGUCAGAUCUGCACUGCAGGAAUGCGGGACCCAGACCGCUCAAGGUCAGGGUCCCUGUGAUGGCGCAGAGCCCGCAGCGCACCCUCCCUGGGCCGGGGCGCCCAGCCCACGCCGCAGGAGCGGCUCCUGCCCAAGCCCUCCCCGCCCAGACGCACGCCAACGGCCAGAGCAGGACUCCACACCCCUCUCCAGCGGGGCCUGCGAGACUCACUGUUGGA